GUAGAUAUAGUUUAACCUAAAACAUUAGAUUGUGGUUCUAAAAACAGAGGUUAAAAUCCUCUUAUCCACC
Molecule: transfer RNA, 70 nt
Filed under: Hypostomus plecostomus (suckermouth catfish)
Lineage: Eukaryota; Metazoa; Chordata; Actinopteri; Siluriformes; Loricariidae
Also listed under: 1 other name
Description: tRNA-His
Rfam family: tRNA
About the family: Transfer RNA (tRNA) molecules are approximately 80 nucleotides in length. Their secondary structure includes four short double-helical elements and three loops (D, anti-codon, and T loops).
Source: RNAcentral